This 253-nucleotide ribosomal RNA is filed under the name uncultured bacterium. RNAcentral's name for it is "partial 16S ribosomal RNA". It matches the Rfam family "Bacterial small subunit ribosomal RNA", at positions 524 to 776 of the family's 1533-position model. The record is from RNAcentral.
UACGUAGGUGGCAAGCGUUAUCCGGAAUUACUGGGCGUAAAGAGUGUGUAGGUGGUUUUAUAAGUCAGGUGUCAAAUCUACAGGCUCAACUUGUAGCUUGCAUCUGAAACUGUAAGACUUGAGGGCAGAAGAGGUAAGUGGAAUUUACGGUGUAGCGGUAAAAUGCGUAGAUAUCGUAAAGAACACCAAUGGCGAAGGCAGCUUACUGGGCUGUUCCUGACACUGAGACACGAAAGCGUGGGGAGCGAACGGG